UACGUAGGGGGCGAGCGUUGUCCGGAUUUAUUGGGCGUAAAGAGCGUGUAGGCGGUUCGGUAAGUCUGUCGUGAAAUCCCGAGGCUCAACCUCGGGCGUGCGAUGGAUACUGCUGGGCUAGAGGGUGGUAGAGGCGAGUGGAAUUCCCGGUGUAGCGGUGAAAUGCGCAGAUAUCGGGAGGAACACCAGUAGCGAAGGCGGCUCGCUGGGCCACACCUGACGCUGAGACGCGAAAGCUAGGGGAGCGAACAGG
This 253-nucleotide ribosomal RNA is filed under the name uncultured bacterium. RNAcentral describes it as "partial 16S ribosomal RNA". It matches the Rfam family "Bacterial small subunit ribosomal RNA", at positions 524 to 776 of the family's 1533-position model. The record is from RNAcentral.